AUUUAGUUUUUGGUAGACAUUGGUAAACAAUGCCUCAAAGUUCUUUUGAAGAGUUUCAUCUGUUGGAACCAUGACAUAGGCAUUAUUAUGUCCAAAGCCUGAACAUACAUCAUAGCCCUCAAAAGAGAAGCAAAGCAGAGAUGCCUGCAUUUUAUAUACAAAUGUUCCAGCAAAAAGGGAGCUGGGGGAGAGAGAGUGUGUCAAUUCACUGCAGUCAGAAUCAGAACACAAAGGCAACUCCCAGGAAAAAGCACGGAAGGGUGCCGAUGUUAUGAUUCUUUAAGGUAAACAAUGCCUCGAAGUUCUUUUGAAGAGUUUCAGCUGUCGGAACCAUGACAGGGUAGGCAGCAAAUCAAAACAAGAUUGCUUGUUAUUAUACAGCUGGCCAGAAAUCAGGACCGGAGAGAAUUGGGAAGAAAGACCAAAGGAAUCUGCAGAACACCAGUGAAGUUGUAGAAAGGGCUACUAUCCAAAACCAUGAGCUCCCCAAAAUACCACAGGAUGCAAGAAGAUAUGCCUAUCUCCCAAAGUCCACCCCAUUAUUCGGAAAUUCAGCCUGAUCUUCCAAAAACUCCUCCUGAAUCAGCUCAUUGUGUAGACUGUGAGAAAUCUCUUAUUCUGCCAGCCAAGGACCGACCUGUAGAUGACCCAGAUAGGACAGCAUCCAAACACAUUCCAGUCCUUCAGAAACCACAGACGGUUGUCUUUGUGCCUGCUGAACUAGUUGAAGAACCUGAUUAUAUAGGCUUCUCUAUCGUUGCUGCACUGUGCUGUUUCUUGCCCCUGGGCAUAGCUGCCUUUGUUUUCUCUAAACUGACUCAAAAAGCCAAUCAUGAGGGAAAUCUUACAGCUGCUCGGAGAUAUUCAAGGACGGCUGUCAUCCUGGCGCUCCUUUCACUUGUAAUCGGCCUUCCACUCCUCAUUUUUUAUUUCAUCUUUAUCACAAAAUCACAUUAGACCAAGUCAUUAUGAAAUGUUCACAUCUGUACAGCCCACUGAGGAAGCCGAUGUCAACACUGCUAACAUCGGAUGUUUUUGCUUUGACAACAGAUGGAAAUGUAGCCAUUUUUCCUCUAUCGCUUUUAGAGUUCUUGAUGCUGGGAGGGGGAAUGUGAAUGAGGGUCCAGCUAGUCA
Crotalus tigris (Tiger rattlesnake) is the source of this 1134-nucleotide long non-coding RNA. RefSeq lists it as uncharacterized. The record is from RefSeq and is a predicted model, not a curated record. Lineage: Eukaryota; Metazoa; Chordata; Lepidosauria; Squamata; Viperidae. The transcript has 3 exons.